CCCUUAGACGUUCUGGGCCGCACGCGCGCUACACUGACCAGUGCAACAAGCAUCCGUCCUUGGCCGACAGGCUCGGGCAAUCUUUGAACGCUGGUCGUGAUGGGGAUAGACUUUUGCAAUUUUUGGUCUUCAACGAGGAAUUCCUAGUAAACGCAAGUCAUCAACUUGCAUUGAUUACGUCCCUGCCCUUUGUACACACCGCCCGUCGCACCUACCGAUUGAAUGGUCCGGUGAAGCCUCCGGAUUGGCGCGCACCCCGGUGCCGCCGAGAAGUUGGCUAAACCUUACCAUUUAGAGGAAGGUGAAGUCGUANCA
RNAcentral lists this ribosomal RNA (315 nucleotides) under uncultured eukaryote. Its description in RNAcentral is "partial 18S ribosomal RNA". It matches the Rfam family "Eukaryotic small subunit ribosomal RNA", at positions 1470 to 1796 of the family's 1831-position model. The record is from RNAcentral.